GAAUGAGCGACGACAAGAACUUUAUUAAGCCGGUCUCCCUGUUAACAGAGAAUCAGUGGUUGGUGGAAACUGAUACAAAGACUAGGUGAAUUUCAUUCUUGGAGCUUUUUUUUAUACUGUAACUUAUUGAAAUUAGUAUAAAAACGGAUCAAACCGUUAUUUGACCAAGUGGGAAACACGUAUUGUUUCCAAUUAGGGUGGUACCGCGUGAUGAGCCACGUCCCUAUC
Molecule: non-coding RNA, 228 nt
Filed under: Paenibacillus sp.
Lineage: Bacteria; Bacillati; Bacillota; Bacilli; Caryophanales; Paenibacillaceae
Description: T-box sequence
Rfam family: T-box leader
About the family: Uncharged tRNA acts as the effector for transcription antitermination of genes in the T-box leader family. T-boxes are found upstream of many aminoacyl-tRNA synthetase genes and some amino acid biosynthetic genes usually in Gram-positive bacteria.
Source: RNAcentral